Molecule: ribosomal RNA, 713 nt
Filed under: uncultured bacterium
Lineage: Bacteria
Description: bacterial SSU rRNA
Rfam family: Bacterial small subunit ribosomal RNA
Source: RNAcentral
AACAGGAUUAGAUACCCUGGUAGUCCACGCCGUAAACGAUGCUAACUCGUUUUUGGGUUUUCGGAUUCAGAGACUAAGCGAAAGUGAUAAGUUAGCCACCUGGGGAGUACGUUCGCAAGAAUGAAACUCAAAGGAAUUGACGGGGGCCCGCACAAGCGGUGGAUUAUGUGGUUUAAUUCGAUGAUACGCGAGGAACCUUACCAAGGCUUAAAUGGGAAUUGAUCGGUUUAGAAAUAGACCUUCCUUCGGGCAAUUUUCAAGGUGCUGCAUGGUUGUCGUCAGCUCGUGCCGUGAGGUGUUAGGUUAAGUCCUGCAACGAGCGCAACCCCUGUUACUAGUUGCUACCAUUAAGUUGAGGACUCUAGUAAGACUGCCUACGCAAGUAGAGAGGAAGGUGGGGAUGACGUCAAAUCAUCACGGCCCUUACGCCUUGGGCCACACACGUAAUACGAUGGCAGGUACAGAGGGCAGCUACACAGCGAUGUGAUGCGAAUCUCGAAGGCCUGUCUCAGUUCGGAUUGGAGUCUGCAACUCGACUCUAUGAAGCUGGAAUCGCUAGUAAUCGCGCAUCAGCCAUGGCGCGGUGAAUACGUUCCCGGGCCUUGUACACACCGCCCGUCAAGCCAUGGAAGUCUGGGGUACCUGAAGUCGGUGACCGUAAAAGGAGCUGCCUAGGGUAAAACAGGUAACUAGGGCUAAGUCGUAACAAGGUA